This is a long non-coding RNA of Melospiza melodia melodia, 441 nucleotides long. RefSeq lists it as uncharacterized. The record is from RefSeq and is a predicted model, not a curated record. Lineage: Eukaryota; Metazoa; Chordata; Aves; Passeriformes; Passerellidae. The transcript is spliced from 4 exons.
AUCUGUAAAAAAGAGGUCAUUUAGUCUCCCCAGGAAGCACAGACAUUUAGAAGGUCCCCGUACAACUCAUGCAAGUAUUUUAUUAACAACAAUUUCUGUUCACAUUUAGGGUUUGCCCUCUUCACUGCUCAAAGAGGGUCUGUGGCCCUGGCAAAGGAAUGUGGACAAAUGGAUGACCAGAACUGCACCCUGAAAGUAAUCUGCUCAUGGAAACUGUCCUGGAAUAUUGGAUUGGACCAGCUCUGUGAUGGUCGUGCCCAUUUUGAGACUCUCAUGUUAAUGCCACAAGAACUUCAGUCUACUGUAUAAUAUUUCAGACAUGGAGGGGGGAAAAAAAAGAAGAAAUGAAGAAAAAGAAAAACCAGCCGUCUGCAUCCACUUAAACUACAUUACAAUAAAGCUCAGUAAAGAUCUGAUCAGCAGUUUUUUAGCCUGCUCUGA